GCGGAAGCGCGGGCUGCCUGGGUGUCUGGGCUUCAAUCAAAUGUAAUGAAAUCCACCCCCUUCGAUUUUCCCAUGAGGAAACUGAGGGUUUCGUUUCCUACAGCACAAGAAGUCCAACGGAAGGGCCAGUCCAGCGUGGAUUCCGAGGACUUACCGUUACUUAAAUCUAUCUAUCUUUCCCUACUGACGGUCAUAAGAUUCACUCCAUGCAGGAGGGCCAAGUUUAAGAAAACAAGACAUUAAGCAUAAAAUGGAAAUCACAGCAAGAUGAAAUGGAUGCCCACAGACCCUGCCUGAGUAGAAUUCUACUAACAGUGUCACAUUUUUGCCCCAAACCAAAUUUUGUCAGGCGGCCGGGAAUUAACGUACCAAAAAUUUAGCAGCUCAUAUAAUUUUAUCAGGCUACCUUUCCCCAGAGGAAGGAAACAAACAAUAAAACGAAUGAAAUCAUA
Long non-coding RNA from Suricata suricatta (meerkat), 452 nucleotides. RefSeq lists it as uncharacterized. The transcript is spliced from 4 exons. The record is from RefSeq and is a predicted model, not a curated record. NCBI's taxonomy places the organism in Eukaryota, Metazoa, Chordata, Mammalia, Carnivora, Herpestidae.